This 92-nucleotide small nuclear RNA is filed under the name Mus spretus (western wild mouse). Lineage: Eukaryota; Metazoa; Chordata; Mammalia; Rodentia; Muridae. The record is from RNAcentral.
GUGCUCGCUUCAGCAGGAUAUUUACUAAAAUUGGAACAAUACAGAGAGGAUUAGCAUGGCCCCUGUGAAAAUUCCUGCUGUUUCAUACUUUA